ACCUGACCGAUAACUAUGCUGAUACCGACAAGCACUACCCAACUGAUUCCUGGGAGGACGUGGGAAACAACGUCUAUGGCUGUGUCAAGCAACUUUUCUUGCUCAAAAAGCAGAAUCGAAAUCUGAAGGUCCUACUUUCCAUUGGUGGAUGGACCUAUUCUUCCAAUUUCCCCGGGGCCGCGAGUACAGCAGCUAACAGGGCCCACUUUGCGGACACUGCCACGAAGUUGAUGCUUGAUAUGGGAUUUGAUGGACUUGACAUUGAUUGGGAAUAUCCCAAUGAUGACGAGGAAGCGAAAAACUUCGUAGAGCUUCUUAAAGUUACGAGAG
Molecule: small RNA, 330 nt
Filed under: Histoplasma capsulatum
Lineage: Eukaryota; Fungi; Ascomycota; Eurotiomycetes; Onygenales; Ajellomycetaceae
Also listed under: 1 other name
Description: hypothetical RNA
Source: RNAcentral